CCGGGGAGCUGAGCUCCCGCCAUGAAGCCAGGUUUUGGCCCCCGUGGGGGUGGCUUCGGUGGCCGAAGGGGCUUUGGUGACCGUGGUGAUCGUGGUGGAGGCUGAGGAGACUUUGGCAGGGGCAGAGGUCGUGGUGGCGGGUUUAGGGGCGGAGGCCGAGGAGGAGGAGGUCGAGGUGGUGGAGGUUUCCAGUCUGGUGGCAACCGGGGUCGUGGUCAGGGAGGGAAAAGAGGAAACCAGUCGGGGAAGAAUGUGGUGGUGGAACCUCAUCAGCAUGAAGGUGUCUUCAUUUGUCGAGGAAAGGAAGAUGCACUUGUCACCAAGAAUCUGGUCCCUGGAGAAUCAGUUUAUGGAGAGAAGAGAGUCUCAAUUGUGGAGGAAGACGACAAAAUCAAGUACCGUGCCUGGAACCCCUUCCGCUCCAAGCUGGCAGCAUCAAUCCUGGGUGGCGUAGACCAGAUCCAUAUCAAGCCGGGGGCCAAGGUGCUCUACCUUGGGGCUGCAUCAGGCACCACUGUCUCCCACGUCUCUGACAUCAUAGGCCCGGACGGUCUAGUCUAUGCAGUUGAGUUCUCCCACCGCUCUGGCCGUGACCUCUUUAACUUGGCCAAGAAGAGGACCAACAUUAUUCCUGUUAUUGAAGAUGCUCGGCACCCACACAAAUACCUCAUGCUCAUCGAAAUGGUGGAUGUGAUCUUUGCCAACGUGGCCCAGCCAGACCAGACCCGGAUCGUAGCCCUGAAUGCCCACACUUUCCUUUGUAACGGAGGACACUUUGUGAUUUCUGUUAAGGCCAACUGCAUUAACUCCAUGGCCUCAGCCGAGGCUGUGUUUCCCUGUGAAGUGAAGAAGAUGCAGCAGGAGAACAUGAAGCCCAGGAGCAGUUGACCUUAGAGCCGUAUGAAAGAGACCACGCAGUGGUGGUGGGUGGUGUACAGGCCACCUCCCAAGGUGGUAAAGAACUGAAGCCCCGCACCAUCUGGAUUGCCAAGACACUGUGUUGCUACUGUCUCACAUGUGUUUUUCUAUUAAAAGACUCAUCCAGGGGCACCUGGGUGGCACAGUCGCUUAAAAAAAA
Molecule: RNA transcript, 1078 nt
Organism: Odobenus rosmarus divergens (Pacific walrus)
Lineage: Eukaryota; Metazoa; Chordata; Mammalia; Carnivora; Odobenidae
Gene name: rRNA 2'-O-methyltransferase fibrillarin-like
Exons: 1
Source: RefSeq, a predicted model, not a curated record